RNAcentral lists this small RNA (29 nucleotides) under Bombyx mori (domestic silkworm). Its description in RNAcentral is "piRNA piR-bmo-1322387". The record is from RNAcentral. Lineage: Eukaryota; Metazoa; Arthropoda; Insecta; Lepidoptera; Bombycidae.
UGAUUUCGUCCGUAUUUGUCCAGCCAAGU